UCAGUUAAGAAGCUGAGUUCCAUUCUUGUUCAGAAAAAUGAAGCCGAGUUCCAUUUAUAAUAUUUUAAUAAUGGAUUCAGCUGUACACUAAAGUUCAGAGGCUUGUGAUUAAAAUGAAGAGAAGGAAGUUCAGGUUUUCAAGCACAUAGUACAAUUGGUUAUUCAAACAAGGCAUGUCAUGGGCAUCUUGGUGCCUUAAAUUCUUCAAUUUUGUAGGUUUCACCAUUGAGUUCUCAGGUUCAUUUACUCCAUGAUUACUAGCCUUGGAAAUUUUGGCAAUUAUAGUUUAGUGUAAAUUGUUGUAUAACAGCCUAGGCGUAAGUAUGGCUUUUAAAUACUAUUUACCAUGAUGCUUAGUCCCUUCACUUUCAUUUGUUUCAGCCUUUUGUAAUAAUCAUGUUUUGUUGUUUAUCAUUUCCAGGUUAUAGAAUUUGGUUUUAGUUUGAUAUAAAUAUUGACCAAAUGAAGUAUAAUUAUUGAAAUGUGUUGUCAUUUGAGGUGUAUCUUCCACAUCAAUGUAUAUGCGUAAUCUUGAAAAGCUUGUUUCAAGUAAUUUGGACGAGAGCUAUAUAUGUGUAU
This is a long non-coding RNA of Medicago truncatula (barrel medic), 579 nucleotides long. RefSeq lists it as uncharacterized. The record is from RefSeq and is a predicted model, not a curated record. The transcript has 3 exons. Lineage: Eukaryota; Viridiplantae; Streptophyta; Magnoliopsida; Fabales; Fabaceae.